CCCCUACGGGGCGCAGCAGUGAGGAAUAUUGGUCAAUGGGCGCAAGCCUGAACCAGCCAAGUCGCGUGAGGGAUGACGGUCCUAUGGAUUGUAAACCUCUUUUGUCGGGGAGCAAGGCCCGCCACGUGUGGCGGGAAGGAGAGUACCCGAAGAAAAAGCAUCGGCUAACUCCGUGCCAGCAGCCGCGGUAAUACGGAGGAUGCGAGCGUUAUCCGGAUUUAUUGGGUUUAAAGGGUGCGCAGGCGGAGGUGCAAGUCAGCGGUCAAAUUGCGGGGCUCAACCCCGUACUGCCGUUGAAACUGCAU
Molecule: ribosomal RNA, 305 nt
Filed under: uncultured bacterium
Lineage: Bacteria
Description: bacterial SSU rRNA
Rfam family: Bacterial small subunit ribosomal RNA
Source: RNAcentral